Non-coding RNA from Delphinapterus leucas (beluga whale), 182 nucleotides. The record is from RefSeq and is a predicted model, not a curated record. NCBI's taxonomy places the organism in Eukaryota, Metazoa, Chordata, Mammalia, Artiodactyla, Monodontidae.
UCUGAGACGUAUAAAAGGUGUGCAGUCUUAGAGCAUCCCAAAAGCCUCAGCAUCUCCACGUUCCAGCCACUGGUGAACUAAGUGCACAUCCAGACCAGAAUGUAUCAUCCGAAGCAGAAGCUGUGCUGCCCGCUACCAAAGUAUUGCUGCCCUCCACCCCAGCCAUGCUGCCCCCCACCAAA